RNAcentral lists this ribosomal RNA (445 nucleotides) under uncultured bacterium. Its description in RNAcentral is "bacterial SSU rRNA". It matches the Rfam family "Bacterial small subunit ribosomal RNA", at positions 958 to 1399 of the family's 1533-position model. The record is from RNAcentral.
AACGCGAAGAACCUUACCAGUCCUUGACAUGUCCACUAUGGGCCUGAGAGAUCAGGUCCUUCACUUCGGGUGGGUGGAACACAGGUGCUGCAUGGCUGUCGUCAGCUCGUGUCGUGAGAUGUUGGGUUAAGUCCCGCAACGAGCGCAACCCUCAUCUUCAGUUGCCCCCGGGUCAGGCCGGGCACUCUGAAGAAACCGCCGGUGACAAGCCGGAGGAAGGCGGGGAUGACGUCAAGUCCUCAUGGCCCUUACGGACUGGGCUACACACGUACUACAAUGGUGGUGACAGUGGGCAGCGAAAGCGCGAGCUGGAGCUAAUCCCCAAAAGCCAUCUCAGUUCAGAUUGCACUCUGCAACUCGAGUGCAUGAAGUUGGAAUCGCUAGUAAUCGCAGAUCAGCACGCUGCGGUGAAUACGUUCCCGGGCCUUGUACACACCGACUGUAC